GCUAUACAUGCAAGUCGAGCGAAUGGAUUAAGAGCUUGCUCUUAUGAAGUUAGCGGCGGACGGGUGAGUAACACGUGGGUAACCUGCCCAUAAGACUGGGAUAACUCCGGGAAACCGGGGCUAAUACCGGAUAACAUUUUGAACCGCAUGGUUCGAAAUUGAAAGGCGGCUUCGGCUGUCACUUAUGGAUGGACCCGCGUCGCAUUAGCUAGUUGGUGAGGUAACGGCUCACCAAGGCAACGAUGCGUAGCCGACCUGAGAGGGUGAUCGGCCACACUGGGACUGAGACACGGCCCAGACUCCUACGGGAGGCAGCAGUAGGGAAUCUUCCGCAAUGGACGAAAGUCUGACGGAGCAACGCCGCGUGAGUGAUGAAGGCUUUCGGGUCGUAAAACUCUGUUGUUAGGGAAGAACAAGUGCUAGUUGAAUAAGCUGGCACCUUGACGGUACCUAACCAGAAAGCCACGGCUAACUACGUGCCAGCAGCCGCGGUAAUACGUAGGUGGCAAGCGUUAUCCGGAAUUAUUGGGCGUAAAGCGCGCGCAGGUGGUUUCUUAAGUCUGAUGUGAAAGCCCACGGCUCAACCGUGGAGGGUCAUUGGAAACUGGGAGACUUGAGUGCAGAAGAGGAAAGUGGAAUUCCAUGUGUAGCGGUGAAAUGCGUAGAGAUAUGGAGGAACACCAGUGGCGAAGGCGACUUUCUGGUCUGUAACUGACACUGAGGCGCGAAAG
Molecule: ribosomal RNA, 731 nt
Filed under: Bacillus cereus
Lineage: Bacteria; Bacillati; Bacillota; Bacilli; Caryophanales; Bacillaceae
Description: bacterial SSU rRNA
Rfam family: Bacterial small subunit ribosomal RNA
Source: RNAcentral